UGGGGAAUAUUGCACAAUGGGCGAAAGCCUGAUGCAGCAACGCCGCGUGAGUGAUGAAGGCCUUCGGGUUGUAAAGCUCUGUCUUUUGGGACGAUAAUGACGGUACCAAAGGAGGAAGCCACGGCUAACUACGUGCCAGCAGCCGCGGUAAUACGUAGGUGGCAAGCGUUGUCCGGAUUUACUGGGCGUAAAGGAUGCGUAGGCGGAUUUUUAAGUGAGAUGUGAAAUACCCGGGCUUAACUUGGGUGCUGCAUUUCAAACUGGGAAUCUAGAGUGCGGGAGAGGAGAAUGGAAUUCCUAGUGUAGCGGUGAAAUGCGUAGAGAUUAGGAAGAACACCAGUGGCGAAGGCGAUUCUCUGGACCGUAACUGACGCUGAGGCAUGAAAGCGUGGGUAGCAAACAGGAUUAGAUACCCUGGUAGUCCACGCCGUAAACGAUGAGUACUAGGUGUAGGAGGUAUCGACCCCUUCUGUGCCGCAGUUAACACAAUAAGUACUCCGCUGGCAGUGAACGAUCGCAAGAUUAAAACUCAAAUGAAUUACGGGGGUCAAUAGCUGUUUUUCCU
This 565-nucleotide ribosomal RNA is filed under the name uncultured bacterium. RNAcentral's name for it is "partial 16S ribosomal RNA". It matches the Rfam family "Bacterial small subunit ribosomal RNA", at positions 355 to 940 of the family's 1533-position model. The record is from RNAcentral.